UUGGGAGUUAUUAACCUCCCUUUUUUUUUCCUUUUUGGGGGGAACUCGGAGGGAUCAUUACCGAGUUUACAACUCCCAAACCCAAUGUGAACGUUACCAAACUGUUGCCUCGGCGGGAUCUCUGCCCCGGGUGCGUCGCAGCCCCGGACCAAGGCGCCCGCCGGAGGACCAACCAAAACUCUUAUUGUAUACCCCCUCGCGGGUUUUUUACUAUCUGAGCCAUCUCGGCGCCCCUCGUGGGCGUUUCGAAAAUGAAUCAAAACUUUCAACAACGGAUCUCUUGGUUCUGGCAUCGAUGAAGAACGCAGCGAAAUGCGAUAAGUAAUGUGAAUUGCAGAAUUCAGUGAAUCAUCGAAUCUUUGAACGCACAUUGCGCCCGCCAGUAUUCUGGCGGGCAUGCCUGUCCGAGCGUCAUUUCAACCCUCGAACCCCUCCGGGGGGUCGGCGUUGGGGAUCGGCCCUUUACGGGGCCGGCCCCGAAAUACAGUGGCGGUCUCGCCGCAGCCUCUCCUGCGCAGUAGUUUGCACACUCGCAUCGGGAGCGCGGCGCGUCCACAGCCGUUAAACACCCCAAACUUCUGAAAUGUGACCUCGGAUCAGUAGGAUACCGAGGUUCC
Molecule: ribosomal RNA, 617 nt
Filed under: Trichoderma virens
Lineage: Eukaryota; Fungi; Ascomycota; Sordariomycetes; Hypocreales; Hypocreaceae
Description: eukaryotic LSU rRNA
Rfam family: 5.8S ribosomal RNA (bases 261-414)
Source: RNAcentral